UAUUUAUAAGCGCUGAAUCAUUUUUGAGCGGGGGAACCACUUUUGGGGUGAAUCUUAGCUAUUGCUAAGUAGGGUUAACUCUUUCGAUCCAAACCCGUCAGCUAACCUCGUAGGCGUUGAUAGAGGAGUA
Molecule: small RNA, 130 nt
Filed under: Acetivibrio straminisolvens
Lineage: Bacteria; Bacillati; Bacillota; Clostridia; Acetivibrionales; Acetivibrionaceae
Also listed under: 1 other name
Description: Clostridium straminisolvens c-di-AMP sequence
Rfam family: c-di-AMP riboswitch aptamer (ydaO/yuaA leader)
About the family: This family represents a conserved RNA structure found upstream of the ydaO and yuaA genes in Bacillus subtilis and related genes in other bacteria. The ydaO/yuaA element is thought to act as a genetic "off" switch for the ydaO and yuaA genes in its native state. It is believed that the element may be triggered during osmotic shock leading to activation of ydaO, a predicted amino acid transporter gene, and members of the yuaA-yubG operon which code for KtrA and KtrB K+ transporters.
Source: RNAcentral